AGGCAUCAGCUGAGAUUCAUGUCAAGCUACUAGCUGAAUGAAAUCAGAUCAGCUGUGCUUUUUUUACAAUUAUAAAGAGACAUGACUAAGGUAAAGAGGUUUUUCUUUUUUAGAGACUGAAGUAAAGACAGAGUGUUUUAUCCCAGAGUUUUCCUAGGUGGAGUGGUGAUUUCCUUUCCUUUCUGGUGGAUGGAAAUAAGCUCGUGGCACAAAACAUGAUUGCCCUGAAGAGUGAGAGGUCUUCGGACAGCUGCAAUCUGCACUAACAGGUCAACUUGAGCAGAGCUGACAAGAUCUGCAAAAGUCAGCACCUGCAGUUCAUCAAAGGGAACUGACAUUUACGGUACACUUCCAGGAUAUGGAGUUUUAGGAGAACAUCUCCCUAACUGAAGUUAUUGCUUUCCUGCUUUGCAUCCCUGGAGCAAAUGAGGUGGAACCCAAGAGGCUGAGCUACGAGAAGUUCCUU
Meleagris gallopavo (turkey) is the source of this 466-nucleotide non-coding RNA. The record is from RefSeq and is a predicted model, not a curated record. NCBI's taxonomy places the organism in Eukaryota, Metazoa, Chordata, Aves, Galliformes, Phasianidae.